This 122-nucleotide ribosomal RNA is filed under the name Parmelia serrana. Its description in RNAcentral is "5.8S ribosomal RNA". It matches the Rfam family "5.8S ribosomal RNA", at positions 1 to 122 of the family's 154-position model. Rfam says of the family: 5.8S ribosomal RNA (5.8S rRNA) is a component of the large subunit of the eukaryotic ribosome. It is transcribed by RNA polymerase I as part of the 45S precursor that also contains 18S and 28S rRNA. The record is from RNAcentral. Lineage: Eukaryota; Fungi; Ascomycota; Lecanoromycetes; Lecanorales; Parmeliaceae.
AACUUUCAACAACGGAUCUCUUGGUUCCAGCAUCGAUGAAGAACGCAGCGAAAUGCGAUAAGUAAUGUGAAUUGCAGAAUUCAGUGAAUCAUCGAAUCUUUGAACGCACAUUGCGCCCCCUG